UUGCCGGUACCAUAUGAAUAAGCACCGGCUAACUCCGUGCCAGCAGCCGCGGUAAUACGGAGGGUGCAAGCGUUGUCCGGAUUUAUUGGGUUUAAAGGGUGCGUAGGCGGGUCUUUAAGUCAGUGGUGAAAGCCUGCAGCUUAACUGUAGAACUGCCAUUGAUACUGGAGGCCUUGAGUAUACUAGAGGUAGGCGGAAUUUAUGGUGUAGCGGUGAAAUGCAUAGAUACCAUAAAGAACACCGAUAGCGUAGGCAGCUUACUGGAGUAUAACUGACGCUGAUGCACGAAAGCAUGGGUAGCGAACAGGAUUAGAUACCCUGGUAGUCCAUGCCGUAAACGAUGAUUACUCGAUGUUGGCGAUACACAGUCAGCGUCCAAGCGAA
This 384-nucleotide ribosomal RNA is filed under the name Rhodosorus marinus. RNAcentral describes it as "partial Bacterial small subunit ribosomal RNA". It matches the Rfam family "Bacterial small subunit ribosomal RNA", at positions 469 to 855 of the family's 1533-position model. The record is from RNAcentral. Lineage: Eukaryota; Rhodophyta; Stylonematophyceae; Stylonematales; Stylonemataceae.